UAUGGACUGAGUGUCUGUUGGACCUAAGUCUAUUUGAAAAAGGAGCUAUAGGAUUGGUGGUUGAUGUCUCAACUUGCUUGAACCUAGUGAUGAGUUAUGUAAUUGGUUUGGAUGGCUCAUCAAUCUCUGUUGAUUCAGGCUCAUCAGACUUGGUCUGAUCAGUCUGUGGUUCAGUUGGUUGGUCUUCUUGGUUCUCAGUUAUACCUACCUGAUUGUCUACUUAUCUCCCAGAUCUUAAGG
RNAcentral lists this long non-coding RNA (240 nucleotides) under Elaeis guineensis (African oil palm). RNAcentral's name for it is "long non-coding RNA (EGUI_LNC021794)". Lineage: Eukaryota; Viridiplantae; Streptophyta; Magnoliopsida; Arecales; Arecaceae. The record is from RNAcentral.